RNAcentral lists this ribosomal RNA (280 nucleotides) under uncultured bacterium. RNAcentral describes it as "partial 16S ribosomal RNA". It matches the Rfam family "Bacterial small subunit ribosomal RNA", at positions 506 to 784 of the family's 1533-position model. The record is from RNAcentral.
UGCCAGCCGCCGGCGGUAAGACGAAGGUGGCAAACGUUGCUCGGAAUUACUGGGCAUAAAGCGCGCGUAGGUGGCUUGGUAAGCGAGGGAUGAAAUCCCAUGGCUCACCCAUGGAACUGUCUCUCGAACUACCUGGCUUGAGGGCGGGAGGGGGAAGCGGAAUUCCUGGUGUAGCGGUGAAAUGCGUAGAUAUCAGGAGGAACGCCGGUGGCGAAAGCGGCUUCCUGGCCCGAUCCUGACACUGAGGCGCGAAAGCGUGGGUAGCAAACAGGAUUAGAUA